UGUGAAGAGGAAAGAGACUUGUACUUUUUUUCAAGGUUAUUUUCCCAUGUUGUUUUACGAUGUUGCAAACAUAUUUGAUAUUUUGGUAACUCACUUUAAAGGCUGGCUCAGGUCAUUUGAGUAAUAUGGAGCCAUAACUGAUCAAAUUGUAUUUGUCUUAAUUGUAUAAUCUCUUAAAAAGACAUUACCGCAAAGGGAAAAUAACAUGUUUAAGUGCGAUACUGAGUGUAUAAAUGUGUUAUUAUGCUUUUCAUGUACAUUACAACUAUGGACAACACUGAGCUGCAUCGUGUCCGUGUCGUAUUUCAUAUUUCCUCUUUUACAGGGGCGUAACAUUUGGAGGCACCGCUGGGAUAGUGUGCAGCGUGGUUUUAGCGUCUUCAACAGAUGUCCCCCGCUGUCACACAUCCCUUUUAAACAACCCGGAACAUCAGAAGCAGGUGGCGAAUCAGCGAUAGUGGCAGUCUGAUUGUCUGGGGCAGCUUGGAUGUGAUCUGAGAUAUUUCUGCAUACCAGGAGAGCUACUAUUACUACCCGAAGAUUAAAAGAAGCAUCUGUGGAUGGUGGUUCGACCUGAUGGUGGUUGUCCCUGCAGUGAUCCUGCCGUACACCUGUUCUGCUACUUGCAAUUACUUGUAUAAUUUCUGUUAGAGAAAUUGAAUGUAUUGUACAUCUUUUACAUUGUUGAUUCUGUACACAUGACAUCCAUUGCAGUCUGUCCAUCCCGGGAGAGGGAUCCCUCCUCUGACGUUCUCCCUAAGGUUUCUUCCCUUUUUUCCCCAUUGAAGGGUUUUUUUCAUAUUUUGGGGAGUUUUUCCUGUGCCGAUGUGAGGGUUUCGGGACAGAGGAUGUUGCAUGUGUACAGACUGUAAAGCCCUCUGAGGCAAAUUUGCGAUUUUGGGCUAUACAAAAUAAAAUGAAUUGAAAUUGAAUUGAAAAGUUCGUGUUCCCCCUGAGGAUCCAUCAUGACAUGGGGGGAGAAUUCGAAAACCAGUUGUUUGCACAGCUGAAGAAGAAUUGUGGAGUGAUAGGCUCAAGAACAACACCGUACCACCCACAAGGCAACGGACAGGUGGAACGCCUGAACAGAACACUGCUGCAAAUGCAUAGAACGCUCACAGAAAGGCAGAAGUCAAAUUGGAGAGAGUCACUGCCCAAGCUCAUCUACGCAUACAACAGCACUCAAUGUGUCACAGGUUUCUCCCCCUUCUACCUCUUGUUUGGAAGAUCACUGAGGUUACCUGUGGACUUAUUAUUUGGCUUGACACAAGAGGCUGGAACCGCCGAUCAUCGGGAGUAUAUGAAAAGGUGGAAACAACAAAUGCAAGAGGCAUAUGAGAUUACAACGGCAAAUGCAAAACAAUGUGCUGAAAAGAGUAAGAGAAACUAUGACAGCAAAGUGAGGAGUUCUGUACUGCACGAGGGUGACCGCGUUCUCGUCAGAAACUUGACACCCAGGGGCGGAACAAGGAAGCUCCGAAAUCACUGGGAAGAUUGCGUUCACAAAGUUAUCCGUCAGGUGGGAAAAGACAUGCCCAUAUAUGAAGUAAUAUCAGAACAAGGCGAGAGGACGUAGGGUACUGCAUCGUAACCUGCUGUUGCCGUGUGACCAUUUGCCACUGGAAAUACAAUUGAAACCAGCUAAAGCAAAAAGACAAAUCACAGCAGGGACCCGCAAGGGAAGGGAGCAACAACACCAAGAUGCAGAGGAUAGUGAUUAAGAGAACUAUGGAUACUAUCCAUCCAGAGAUCAGCCUUUCCCUGUGAUACAGCCCGAAGAAGAUACAGACGGUCAGGAAGCUGAACAACUUUCACAGGAUGCUGAGCCUCAGCAACAGGACUACCAGUUGGAACAGGAUAGUAGAGAUACAGAGAGGGACACAUCAGGACAGCAGGAGAUUAUUGCUCACGAGGACACUGCUCUGGAGAAGAGACCGUCCGUAGUGCAGGCACCUGUUCAGAGUGGAACUCACUGUGGACAUGAACAGCGAUAUCAGUGUCCGGUCAGGGACAGACGGCCUCCAAGAUUCUUCACGUAUGACCAGUUGGGCACUCCUGGUUGUUACAGCACUGGACUCACAGGUGAAGCCAUGCAGUGGUACCCACCAGCACCUUAUAGAGCCAUGCAAGCGGCAGGUGCAUGGGUGACUCCAGUACAGCACUUUGGCUACCAGCCUGUCGUGGUACCAGGGUACUGACUUUGAAACACACUUGCACAUUCGCUAUACACGCAUUGAUGGACUGGGGAACAAGCCAAGGGCUAACAUUUACACUAUGCACUCCUGGACUUUUGAAUAAGCUAUGUGCCUGUGUACGAACCGUUACGAGGGUGAUCUGGAAAUGAUGUGUACUGUUUAACUGCCUUCAUCAUUACUCAUCUUUUGGUUGGGAUGUCGGGGACGACAUCUGUGUUGAAGGGGAGUAUGUAAGGAGGAUAAAAAUGAUGUACUACUGUUGCAUUGAAUGUCAUUGAAUGGGUUAAUGUAAGUUAAAAUAUACUUAAAAAGGUUCACAAAAAGGAGAAAGUUAAAAUGCACUAAUGGUCUGUAGAUCAGUGAUUUAUCUUUCUGUGGUUAAAGUUUAAGUUUAGGUAUCAGUGCGCGAUUGAUUGCUAAUGCCUCAUUCGGUGACGAUCUGUGAGCGAUUGCUAAUGCCUCGUUUAGGCUGUGAACGGAGCGUGUGGCGUACGGUCGUUCAUUACAACUAUGGACAACACUGAGCUGCAUCGUGUCCGUGUCGUAUUUCAUAUUUCCUUUUUUACAGGUAAGAACGAGUGUUGUAUUAUGGUUAAUCAAUGUAUAUAUGUGUUUAAUACUGUAAGAAACAUGCGGGAGUAGAUGUUAAUGAUGGUAAUCAUCUAGCAGUCUAAACGUGAAGAAGUGUAGCGUGCAUGCUAGCUGUGUAGCACGUGGUGUAGCCCGUGGGGUGGGCUCAAAGCGGGACGUAAUAGAACUCCGCAAGUGCCGGUUUCUCUGUGUGUAAGUAAAAGUGUUUGUUAGUAUCGUAUAAGCUAAAGAGAGAGUGUUUAAUGUGAAGAGGAAAGAGUCUUGUACUUUUUUUCAAGGUUAUUUUCCCAUGUUGUUUUACGAUGUUGCAAACAUAUUUGAUAUUUUGGUAACUCACUUUAAAGGCUGGCUCAGGUCAUUUGAGUAAUAUGGAGCCAUAACUGAUCAAAUUGUAUUUGUCUUAAUUGUAUAAUCUCUUAAAAAGACAUUACCGCAAAGGGAAAAUAACAUGUUUAAGUGCGAUACUGAGUGUAUAAAUGUGUUAUUAUGCUUUUCAUGUACAUUACAACUAUGGACAACACUGA
Pungitius pungitius (ninespine stickleback) is the source of this 3310-nucleotide long non-coding RNA. RefSeq lists it as uncharacterized. The record is from RefSeq and is a predicted model, not a curated record. Lineage: Eukaryota; Metazoa; Chordata; Actinopteri; Perciformes; Gasterosteidae. The transcript is spliced from 2 exons.